RNAcentral lists this ribosomal RNA (485 nucleotides) under uncultured bacterium. RNAcentral's name for it is "partial 16S ribosomal RNA". It matches the Rfam family "Bacterial small subunit ribosomal RNA", at positions 28 to 523 of the family's 1533-position model. The record is from RNAcentral.
GACGAACGCUGGCGGCGUGCUUAACACAUGCAAGUCGAACGGUGAAAGCGGAGCUUGCUCCGCUGGAUCAGUGGCGAACGGGUGAGUAACACGUGGGCAACCUGCCCCUCACUUCGGGAUAACUCCGGGAAACCGGGGCUAAUACCGGAUAUGACCUCCUUGGGCAUCCUUGGCGGUGGAAAGUUUUUCGGUGAGGGAUGGGCCCGCGGCCUAUCAGCUUGUUGGUGAGGUAGUGGCUCACCACGGCGACGACGGGUAGCCGGCCUGAGAGGGCGACCGGCCACACUGGGACUGAGACACGGCCCAGACUCCUACGGGAGGCAGCAGUGGGGAAUAUUGCGCAAUGGGCGAAAGCCUGACGCAGCAACGCCGCGUGCGGGAUGAAGGCCUUCGGGUUGUAAACCGCUUUCAGCAGGGAAGAAGCCGCAAGGUGACGGUACCUGCAGAAGAAGCACCGGCUAACUACGUGCCAGCCGCCGCGGUAA